Bos taurus (domestic cattle) is the source of this 47-nucleotide non-coding RNA. The record is from Rfam. Lineage: Eukaryota; Metazoa; Chordata; Mammalia; Artiodactyla; Bovidae.
CCAAAGGCUCUUUUCAGAGCCACCGCAUGUUUUCACCAUCAGAGCUG